UACAGAGGGUGCAAGCGUUGUUCGGAAUUACUGGGCGUAAAGCGCACGUAGGCGGCUUUCUAAGUCGGGGGUGAAAUCCUGGAGCUCAACUCCAGAACUGCCUUCGAUACUGGAGAGCUCGAGUCCGGGAGAGGUGAGUGGAACUGCGAGUGUAGAGGUGAAAUUCGUAGAUAUUCGCAAGAACACCAGUGGCGAAGGCGGCUCACUGGCCCGGUACUGACGCUGAGGUGCGAAAGCGUGGGGAGCAAACAGG
This 253-nucleotide ribosomal RNA is filed under the name uncultured bacterium. RNAcentral describes it as "partial 16S ribosomal RNA". It matches the Rfam family "Bacterial small subunit ribosomal RNA", at positions 524 to 776 of the family's 1533-position model. The record is from RNAcentral.